AGUGAACGCUGGCGGCAGGCCUAACACAUGCAAGUCGAACGGCAGCACGGCAGUAGCAAUACUGUGGGUGGCGAGUGGCGGACGGUGAGGAAUACAUCGGGAUCUACCCUGUUGUGGGGGAGUAACGUAGGGAAACUUACGCUAAUACCGCAUAAGAACUGAGGUUGAAAGCGGCGGACCGCAAGGCGUCGCGCGAUUGGAUGAACCGAUGUCCGAUUAGCUAGUUGGCGGGGUAAAGGCCCACCAAGGCGACGAUCGGUAGCUGGUCUGAGAGGACGACCAGCCACACUGGAACUGAGACACGGUCCAGACUCCUACGGGAGGCAGCAGUGGGGAAUAUUGGACAAUGGGCGCAAGCCUGAUCCAGCCAUGCCGCGUGGGUGAAGAAGGCCUCGGUUGUAAGCCUUGUUCCGGAAGAAAGACAUUCGGUUAAUACCCGGUGUUCUGACGGUACCGGAAGAAUAAGCACCGGCUAACUUCGUGCCAGCAGCCGCGGUAA
This 499-nucleotide ribosomal RNA is filed under the name uncultured bacterium. RNAcentral describes it as "bacterial SSU rRNA". It matches the Rfam family "Bacterial small subunit ribosomal RNA", at positions 29 to 523 of the family's 1533-position model. The record is from RNAcentral.